This 24-nucleotide ribosomal RNA is filed under the name Colletotrichum gloeosporioides. RNAcentral describes it as "partial 18S ribosomal RNA". Lineage: Eukaryota; Fungi; Ascomycota; Sordariomycetes; Glomerellales; Glomerellaceae. The record is from RNAcentral.
UGGUGACAGCGGAGGGAUCAUUAC